GACGAACGCUGGCGGCGUGCUUAACACAUGCAAGUCGAACGGAAAGGCCCUGCUUUUGUGGGGUGCUCGAGUGGCGAACGGGUGAGUAACACGUGAGUAACCUGCCCUUGACUUUGGGAUAACUUCAGGAAACUGGGGCUAAUACCGGAUAGGAGCUCCUGCUGCAUGGUGGGGGUUGGAAAGUUUCGGCGGUUGGGGAUGGACUCGCGGCUUAUCAGCUUGUUGGGGGGGUAGUGGCUUACCAAGGCUUUGACGGGUAGCCGGCCUGAGAGGGUGACCGGCCACAUGGGGACUGAGAUACGGCCCAGACUCCAACGGGAGGCAGCAGUGGGGAAUAUUGCACAAUGGGCGGAAGCCUGAUGCAGCAACGCCGCGUGCGGGAUGACGGCCUUCGGGUUGUAAACCGAUUUCGCCUGUGACGAAGCGUGAGUGACGGUAAUGGGUAAAGAAGCACCGGCUAACUACGUG
This 468-nucleotide ribosomal RNA is filed under the name uncultured bacterium. RNAcentral describes it as "partial 16S ribosomal RNA". It matches the Rfam family "Bacterial small subunit ribosomal RNA", at positions 28 to 507 of the family's 1533-position model. The record is from RNAcentral.